GCGAAAACUUUACAAUGCUGGCAACAGCGAUAAGGGAACCUCGAGUGCCAGGUUACAAAUCUGGCUGUCGAGAUGCCUAAAAAGCAUUUCAUAGCAAGGGCCGGGCAAGACCGGUGCCAGCCGCCGCGGUAACACCGGCGGCUCGAGUGGUAACCGUUAUUAUUGGGUCUAAAGGGUCUGUAGCCGGCCGGAUAAGCCUCUUGAGAAAUCUGGCAGCCUAACUGUCAGGCUUUCAGGAGAUACUGUCUGGCUCGAGGCCGGGAGAGGUGAGAGGUACUUCAGGGGUAGGGGUGAAAUCUUGUAAUCCUUGAAGGACCACCAGUGGCGAAGGCGUCUCACCAGAACGGACCUGACGGCAAGGGACGAAAGCUAGGGGCACGAACC
RNAcentral lists this ribosomal RNA (384 nucleotides) under uncultured prokaryote. RNAcentral's name for it is "bacterial SSU rRNA". It matches the Rfam family "Archaeal small subunit ribosomal RNA", at positions 341 to 725 of the family's 1478-position model. The record is from RNAcentral.